GAUGAACGCUGGCGGGGUGCCUAAUACAUGCAAGUCGAGCGAACAGACGAGGAGCUUGCUCCUCUGACGUUAGCGGCGGACGGGUGAGUAACACGUGGAUAACCUACCUAUAAGACUGGGAUAACUUCGGGAAACCGGAGCUAAUACCGGAUAAUAUAUUGAACCGCAUGGUUCAAUAGUGAAAGACGGUUUUGCUGUCACUGAUAGAUGGAUCCGCGCCGCAUUAGCUAGUUGGUAAGGUAGCGGCUUACCAAGGCAACGAUGCGUAGCCGACCUGAGAGGGUGAUCGGCCACACUGGAACUGAGACACGGUCCAGACUCCUACGGGAGGCAGCAGUAGGGAAUCUUCCGCAAUGGGCGAAAGCCUGACGGAGCAACGCCGCGUGAGUGAUGAAGGUCUUCGGAUCGUAAAACUCUGUUAUUAGGGAAGAACAAAUGUGUAAGUAACUAUGCACGUCUUGACGGUACCUAAUCAGAAAGCCACGGCUAACUACGUG
Molecule: ribosomal RNA, 497 nt
Filed under: uncultured bacterium
Lineage: Bacteria
Description: partial 16S ribosomal RNA
Rfam family: Bacterial small subunit ribosomal RNA
Source: RNAcentral